Molecule: long non-coding RNA, 800 nt
Filed under: Pogona vitticeps (central bearded dragon)
Lineage: Eukaryota; Metazoa; Chordata; Lepidosauria; Squamata; Agamidae
Description: lncRNA (ENSPVIG00000001284.1)
Source: RNAcentral
UUAAAUUUGAAGCAGGAAGUAGUAAUUACUAGUCAUAACAAAUAAAUUUAGGUGUUCUGCUGCACUCACUCACAGUUUUGAUUUCCCAGAGAUUUCUAGCAAGUAUGAUGCAGAAGUCUCCAGACAACAACAGCAGAGCAGUAAAUUCUGUCUCAUAUCCUUUGAAACCAUAAUGGACAAGAGUAGAAUUCCACUGUGCCAGUCCCCUUGUUGAUUCAGUCUGCUUCCUUCUAUUAUUUAACAGGAAACCCCAGGACAAUCAACACAUGGAGAGCAAAUGCUCCUCUCCUUCCCCUCUCAUUUUUUACUUUUUCUCAUCACAGAAUGAACAGGAGAACAAAGUGGAAGGCACCAUGCCAGCUUUAAACAUUCUGAUACUUUUAUGGAUGUGUGACUGUGUUCUUCUUCAAGGUCUAUUUAAAUCAGUGACUCCUACAGAAACAUCCCAGGAUGCAAAGACGGAAUUCUUAUCUGCACCUUCCCCUACAGAAGAGAAAUCGGCAGCACUAUCGGUAGCAGCAUCUGGUGUUAUCAGCUUCAUUGUCAUUUUGGUGGUGAUUGUGAUCAUCCUGGUCUGUGUGGUCAGCCUAAGAUUCAGGUGCCGUCACUGCAAAGAUGCAGAAGCAGAUAAACAGAAACCUCAACACCCAAUAGUAACUUACAGCUGCUCUGAUGCUGAAAAUGCAGCUGAUAUGAAGAAUGUCUUAUUGGUCUCCAUGAAGGACUUAAACACAAGCACUAGCGAAGAUGGUAUGAAACCAAUGGUCAGCUGUGAAGAAUGAGAAAACACUGUAAUACUG